This 3713-nucleotide long non-coding RNA is filed under the name Olea europaea (common olive). Its description in RNAcentral is "long non-coding RNA (OEUR_LNC000380)". The record is from RNAcentral. Lineage: Eukaryota; Viridiplantae; Streptophyta; Magnoliopsida; Lamiales; Oleaceae.
AAUAAUGGCAAAUGUAACCCGCCAAACCACCCCAAAUAAUUGAAAACAUAACCCGCCCCAAUUAAUCUUCCAUUCAUUCCGAUGGUUGACGAAGCUAUGUGUGAGACUGUCUGAUUUGCCAGCCCAUCCCAUAUUUCGUCGCCGCCACCCCAAAUAAUCUUCCAUCAUAAACAAAUGGCGGGUUUCAUUCCAGACCAAAAUAAUUGAAAGUUUGAAAGAGGUUUUUAGUGAUCGACGAAACUGAAGGUGAAACUGUCUGCGCCGGAUGCCCAUCCCACAUUUAGUUGCUGUUGGCCACCCAACCCUGAGGUGAUAUUCCACGGGAAUCGGAUGUAAUAGAUUUGAAGAGAUGACAGACAAAGGUGUGGUUUUGUUCCAUCCCAUAUUUCCCUUUCUUACUGUUAAUGUGAGAAUGGAUGUGAAUUUACUGGCUGUGUACUAUGUGGGGGAGAUAGUGUAGGUGCGUUUUAUAAAUGCAAAUUUUCAUCAAUAGGUUAAUGGAAAAUUGGUGGGGUUUUGUUGGAGAUGUAUUUGCCCUGAUUAAAAAAAUUAGUUAUGUGAAUUAGUUUUAACAUUCUUUAAUUGGUUAUUUAUUGCAAUGAAUAAAAGUUCGAAAGAUGUGGAUGGACAUAUUUCGCUAGAAUUCGAUAAUGAGGAUAUUUUGGACAGUGUCAACUUGGUAAUGGAUGGAAUAGUAGGAGUAGAUGGAGUGGGCGAUAGGAUUAUAGGAGUAGAUGGUGCAACCAUGCUCGAUGUGGGUAUGGAGUUCAACGAUGAAAAAGAAAUAUUUCAUUUUUACAAAAGAUAUGCGUAUGACGUAGGGUUUCCAAUUAGAAAAAGAAAUUCGCAAAAGGAUGAUGAUGGAGUUGUCAAAUAUGUUGUGUUCACAUGUAGCUGCGAAGGACGAAGAAGCAGAAAUACAAGUGGUUCUUUGAAGCCACACGUUACCAUUCAGACAAGUUGUAAAGCCAGAAUUAUUGCUUCUGUAGAUGCAUAUGGAAUAUGGAGAAUUAACACAGUCAAUCUCAUUCGCAAUUACAGAACAAGUCCUUCGAAGUCAAGGUUGUAUCGUUGCAACUGAGUGUUGAGUGCCCAUGUCAAAUGAUGGCUUGAAAUGAACGAUAUGGUAGGGAUUCCUCACAAUGCUGCAGUCGUAGAAGUGGAUGGGUACGAAAACAUUACUUGAAUAGAAAAGGAUUGUUGAAACUAUGUUGAACAAGUUAAGGCAGUUAAGACUUAGAGACGGAGAUACCGCAGCAAUACAAGCCUGCUUUUCGAACAUGCAAGCAAGAUGUUCGGGUUUUUACUUUAGUAUGGAUUUAGAUGAGGAGUCGCGGGUUGAGGAAUAUUUUUUGAACUGAUAAUAGGAGUAGGCAAGCAUAUAAAGAGUUCGAUAAUGUUGUAACAUUUGAUACCAUGUACCUAGCUAACAAGUAUGACAUGUCAUUCGCGUCUUUUUGUUGGGGUUAAUUAUCACGGACAAUCAAUGCUACUCAGUUGUGGUUCGUUGUCGAACGAAAGUUCAGAAACAUUUGUGUGGCUUUUCAAGACUUGACUUCAGUGCAUGCAUGACCAAGCUCCCAAGGGAAUUAUUACCGAUCAAGAUAAGGUCGUGCAAAAUGCAAUUUAAAUCGUUUGUCCAAACACCAGGCAUAGGUGGUGUCUUGUUCUUCCACUUCCUAGCAAAGAGAUUGGAACGUGUGAGUUAUUUGUUGAACUUCUUCAAGUGCUGUUGAGUUAUUCGAGUUAAUGGUAACAGUACUAGACUCGCCGCUUGAUUAUCCUAGUUCGACCCAUUCCCAGUAUCUACAGUGAGCACUGUAGCAAUUGUACAACUUUUCCUUGUUCUUCGUCUCCCUUUCAACCUCAAGGCACUUGACAAAGCCAUGUCUACAGAGGGGCAUCGUCGUUUGUUAGGGCAAUCAAUAAAGAAGUGCCUCUUUUCUCUACAGCUAUGGCAGAUUCCGAAAUUUUUCCUGUCAUUCUAACACAUGAACAACUAAAUUUUAAAAAAUAAUGAAAUGCACACAAACUCCAUUACUUUUCUUUUUCCAAUUUGGUUUUAAGAAAUAAUGAAACACACACACACACGCGCACACACAUUGACAAUUUGGGUUUUACCGUCGUUAAUCGAGAACAAUAAAAUACAAGGUUUUCUUCAUACCAACUAUAGGCAACUGCGUCGGAGAUGGACACUCUUCCUAAAUACGGUGGAGAUUUUACCUUGCGGAUUCAACAUAUGAAAGAAGCAAACGAUCAACUGAAGGUGGGAACCUCAAGCAUAUAGAUGAUUGAUAUAUUGGGCACUGGCAUUUUCAUCUCGUCAUGUGGGAGAAUCUGAAGUUUAGUGUGUUUCUGUCGCCGUCGAAGUUUCUCUGAUUUGGGGUUUUUUUCAUGUAAGGGAAUAGGGUGAAAGUGACGUGGAUUUUUGCGUUUUGGGGGUUAUGUUGGGCUGGGUCAAAAAUUUCCCACCAUUUUUUAUUUCUUGAAUUUUUACGCUCCACUUGCCACGUCAUCGAGUCAACAAGCGGGUAAAGGCAAGUGUACACAUAGCACGAUUGAAAUAAUAAAUACUUUUUGGAAGUAGUCAAAGUAAGUGACAAAAUCAAGCGCCUCUUAGAGCACUUAAAAUUCUUUGAUCUCUAAAUUUAUAGAAGCUCGUUAUAUUGUUAAAUAUGCUCUUUAAAAAUAGAGAAUUUAUUGUAUAUACUCUUAAAAAAUCAUAAUUUGACUCUAUCGUUCUUUUUUCCUUUUAAACAUUUGUUCAACUAAUCUAUUUCUUUUAAUACUUGAGAUAGGUACAUGAUUGAGCUCAUCAAGUCACCAGAUUUUGCCGCUUAUAAUUUUAGAGUUACUACAAGACAUUUAAGUCAACUCCAAUACCCAAACUCUUAUGGCUGUGUUUGAUUGGAAAAUUUUGCAUAAAAUUAGCUUUUUUCACCUAAUUUCCAACUUUUGGAAUAUUUGAUUUUCAAAUUUUUUUAUGAAAUUUUUUUCCUAUCUUUGAAAAUAUACGUUUUUUUUUCCUUUUCUAAGAAAAACAUUUUCUUUUCUAGAGAUAUUUUCCAUGUUAAUCAAGCACACACUUACUUAUUAUUGAUCUAGUAAUCUUUUUAUAAAUAUUGUUACGUUUUUUCCUAUGGCAGGUACAUAGUUGCCCGUUAAGUAAAAUGUUAUGCAAACACCCUCUUUUUGAGACUAAUAAAUCAAAGCAUGUCGCAUCUAUCGUCUUUACUCCGAGCCUAUGAAAUUACUUUUCAUCGCCUUGUUAACUAUGACUUUUCGAGGCAUUGAGAGCAUAGUCCAGCAACAUAAUUCAUUGCGGGCACGUCACCUCUUGGCUCCGUAGCGAUUGAAGAAGAUCCAACCUUUAGCCGCAUCAGAUGGGUCUCCAAUAUCAAAGGCGAUUGUGUUCAAUGUCGUAGCACCUCAUGCAAGUUGCAUUUUGACAGUAUAGAACCACGUGACAUUGAUUGAUUUGACUCUUUUAAAUGUAGCCGGGAGUCAAAUUCCUUAUUUUUCGCCUAAGACAGUGUGUGAAGGUCACAUGCCUAUAAUGCCUAUGAUACGACGUUGUGACAUCGUCAAGUUUAAGUAGAGGGUCAUUGGGAUGAGGUCAUGUGUCAAUCAUUUGAGGAGCCUCAGUUCAUUCUCUUUGCCUAUAAAUACUUAACUUUAUGAAAUUGUGAAGGUAAUUACCAAUUGGUAGUUCU